Molecule: ribosomal RNA, 795 nt
Filed under: uncultured bacterium
Lineage: Bacteria
Description: bacterial SSU rRNA
Rfam family: Bacterial small subunit ribosomal RNA
Source: RNAcentral
AGUCGAGGGGCAGCGGGGAGGUAGCAAUACCUUUGCCGGCGACCGGCGCACGGGUGAGUAACACGUAUGCAAUCCACCUGUAACAGGGGGAUAACCCGGAGAAAUCCGGACUAAUACCCCAUAAUAUGGGCGCUCCGCAUGGAGAGUCCAUUAAAGAGAGCAAUUUUGGUUACAGACGAGCAUGCGCUCCAUUAGCCAGUUGGCGGGGUAACGGCCCACCAAAGCGACGAUGGAUAGGGGUUCUGAGAGGAAGGUCCCCCACAUUGGAACUGAGACACGGUCCAAACUCCUACGGGAGGCAGCAGUGAGGAAUAUUGGUCAAUGGUCGGCAGACUGAACCAGCCAAGUCGCGUGAGGGAAGACGGCCCUACGGGUUGUAAACCUCUUUUGUCGGAGAGUAAAGUACGCUACGUGUAGCGUAUUGCAAGUAUCCGAAGAAAAAGCAUCGGCUAACUCCGUGCCAGCAGCCGCGGUAAUACGGAGGAUGCGAGCGUUAUCCGGAUUUAUUGGGUUUAAAGGGUGCGUAGGCGGCACGCCAAGUCAGCGGUGAAAUUUCCGGGCUCAACCCGGACUGUGCCGUUGAAACUGGCGAGCUAGAGUGCACAAGAGGCAGGCGGAAUGCGUGGUGUGGCGGUGAAAUGCAUAGAUAUCACGCAGAACCCCGAUUGCGAAGGCAGCCUGCUAGGGUGCGACAGACGCUGAGGCACGAAAGCGUGGGUAUCGAACAGGAUUAGAUACCCUGGUAGUCCACGCAGUAAACGAUGAAUACUAACUGUUUGCGAUACAAUGUAAGCG